RNAcentral lists this long non-coding RNA (7336 nucleotides) under Vigna radiata. RNAcentral's name for it is "long non-coding RNA (VRAD_LNC007387)". Lineage: Eukaryota; Viridiplantae; Streptophyta; Magnoliopsida; Fabales; Fabaceae. The record is from RNAcentral.
GACACUAUACUGCUCUCGAACUCAAUUAUUACAAAUACAAUUUUAAUGUUAGAAGUAUUAUUUAUAACGAUAAAUAUUAGAAAAAGUAUCCAUUGCAUUUUAAACAUGCAUAGAAAUAAAUGUAACACGUUGAAAAGCACGAGUAUAGUGCUUUUAAAAGCAAAGCAAUGCAAUGAGAAGUUAGGCACUUCAUCCUUAUCUCUCACAUCAACAUCAAACUAAUACGAGGGUGGAAUCAGAUCACUGGAUUUCUUCAUCUUGGAUAUGAAUUCUGAAUCCACGUUAAGAGCAACUUCUUGAAUCGAAGAUGACAACUUUCCCCAUAUCGAUCCCUUCCCUGCCAACUCAUCAAACAAAGGUAUGCAAAUCAUAUAGAAUAAUGAUAUUUAUACAACAUAUUUUUUACAACAUUUAAAUAUUGAUUACGUAUCAAUAUAUGAUUGGUCAAAAAUUACUCCACAAUAAUGUUUAUGAUUAUUAUUAUUGAUUGUGGAAUAAUUUUUGACCAAUCAUAGAUUGACACGUAAUCAAUGUUCAAAUAUUGUCAAAAAAUUGUUCUCUAAAUAUCAUUAUCCAAUCAUAUAAUCAAUCAGUAAUUUUUUUUUUGUUGAUUAUUAUCUAUAUAUAUAUAAUGGAAAAAGUCUCUUUAACAACUCUUUUUUAACAACUUUUUGAUAACAUAUAGGUGACAGUUUGUGAUUGGUCGAUUUCAAAUAAUUUUUUUAGUAUAAAUUCAAACCGACCAAUAAAAUAGUGACACAUAUCUCAUUGUCAAAAAUUUGUUAAAAAAAGUUGUUAAAAUAUUAUUAUCCAUAUAUAAUAUAACCAGUAGAAACUUACUUUGUAGUUGUAGUAAUGGAGUAACAUUCCAUUGUUUCUUCUCCUGCAAUUUUAGCCACGACAAAAAGUUGCGGCACCACGAUCAAAUCACCAGCCUUAACAAGAGUGUCUAAUGCAGGUUUUCCAUUGAAGUCCACAAUUUCAAUCUUGCCACUUCCUCUGGCAAUGUAAAUCAAUUGAAUCGCAGCGGUUGUUGGGUAUGAAGGAGCCUUAAUAGCACCGGCUUCAAGUUUCACUCUAAUCAAACUCAAACCAAUCUCCCCCAUAAAAGGAAACUCUUUCUCCGUUAAAGUUUUCACCAAUCCAGCUUUUUCAACAACAUUUUCUGCGCAUGCAGCGUCUAUGUUGUACACAAGCUUUUUGGUUAUGUCGAUCUGGGGUUUAGGCAGUGCCUGAUUUUUGUCCAGUUUCACAAUAAAAAGAUCAGCUUGACUUUUUGUGAGCUUUUGAACCUCAUCUUUGUCAAAGUUAUAGACUUUGCCGGUGAGCUCAGUUGAGAAACCUCCUAUAACUCCUAUAGCUCCAGUUAGAAGGAAAUAGGUGAAUUGACCUGGAAUAAGACCCUUUGAAGUUUCUCCAAGAAAAACAAUGAUCAGAUCUGUGUCUCCAUCGUUGAACCACCACGACACAGCUCCAACAGGUACUGCUAUAACGUCUCCUUCCUCAAGUUUCAAAACCACCUCUUCUUUGCCGUCGGGGAGAACCAUCCCAACUACUCCAUCACUCCCUGCAAAGUUUCUCAUAUAUAGUAAUUGGAAGUUAAGAUUUGUUUAUGGUGAAAAGCGAAAAGAUAUAUAUGUAAGAGUUCUGACCUUGAAUGACAUAACCAACUUUGGAUGAAUCUGCAUAAUGAGGAAAGGCAAAGCCGCGAGGGUGAAGAAGAAAACGACCAGCGCCCAGAUUAGUCGUAGCCAGAAUUGGCAUUUGAGAAGCAUACCAAGUGUAGUAACCUCCACCAUCUCCCUCAAACAGUGGUUCUGCUGAUUUUGGUGUUAAAUCCAACUCCAUUAUUCACCUUAUUUUCCCUUUGUCCACCAAAAAUAUUUCAAACACGUUCAAGCAUCUUACUUAAAUGAAGUAGAUAGUCACAUACACAUAUACAUACAUAUAUAUAUAUAUAUAUAUAUAUAUAUAUAUAUAUUUUUGAUAAUAUUUGAUUACGUGUGAAUCUGUGAUUGAUAAAAAAUUACUCCAGAAUAAUGUUUAUGAUUAUUAUUAUUGAUUUGGAGUCAUUUUUGACCAAUCACAUAUUAACAAGUAAUCAAUGUUUAAAUGUUGUCAAAAAAAUGUUGUCUAAAUCAUUAUAUAUAUAUAUAUAUAUAUAUAUAUAUAUAUAUAUAUNNNNNNNNNNNNNNNNNAUAUAUAUAUAUAUAUAUAUAUAUAUAUAUAUAUAUAUAUAUAUAUAUAUAUAUAUAUAUAGGGAUAAUAAUAUUUUAACAAUUUUUUUUAACAAUUUUUUGACAACAGGACACGUAUUACCAUUUUAUUGAUAUGUUUGAAUUUAUCCUAAAAAAAAUAUUUAAAACCAACCUAUCACGAACUGUUAUGCAUUCUCAAAAAAUUCUCAAGAAUUGUUAAAAGACUUUUUUUUCUAUAUAUAAUAGGUUUAUCUUACAACACACAGAAGAUCAGAAAACAUUUUUUUUUUAUGUUUGAAAAAUACCACUACAUACAAACACUACUGUUGGGUCGAACUUCUAUAACCUAACCUCAAAACUCUGAUAAACACCGAUGGCUGGUCGAAAGAUUUCUGGCAUUGAAGACGGUGUCCACGCGUUCCACGAAUGAGUAGAACCCACAAAAUGUACUGUCUUUAAAAUUCAAACUGUACCUUACAUAACUUGCUUAGUAAAUUGUUUAAAGUUCAUCAAGAUAGAUUCACACGUCCUAAAAUAUUUUAAUCUAAAAAAAAUCAAUUUAAAAUAUAAAAGUUAAUAUAAAUUUUACUUUACAAAACUAAUUUUAUAAGAUUAAAUCAAAUUAAAGUUUAUUUUAUAAUAUAGUAUUAUAUAUAUAAUUUAAAAUUUAUUUUAACAAAAUUUAUUAUUAAUUAAAAAUAUUAUUUUAUCUAUUAUUAAACUAUUCAUUAAUAUUCAAUAUCAUAUCCAAAAUAUAUAUACAUUAGUACGAGAAAAGUAAAUUAAAAGUGAUAGGACUCUAAUUUAUAAUUUAUUUUAAUUAAUAUAACAAAAUUGAGUGUUUAAUUCUAAAAUAAAUACAAAAACUCUUAUUUUUAUUAUAAAAACAUUUUAAACAAAUAAAAGAACGUGUUUUAAAUAAAAAAUAAGAAACUUUUUUAUAUUGAAAAUUUGAGUCAAGAAAACAAUUUUGAUCUCAUAUUUUAUAAUUUUAAUCAUAUAUUUUAAAAAUCAUUCAUAAAAUAAUAUUUAAAGAAAUAAAUAGACACAUUUCAUUUAUAAUAUAAGUAAAUAUUUAUAAAUAACUAUUAACUUUAAUUUUUUUAGUAUGAACAGUCAUUUUAAUAUAAAUUAAAGUCAUUUUACUAUAAAUUAAAACAUAUGUACAUUUUUAUUAAAAAAAUAAGACAAAACAUAUGCAGAUUUUCAUUUAAAAUAUGAAUUGCAUUUUUCUCAUAUCAUAAAAAAAAGAACAAAUAUAAAUUUAUAUACAUAUAAAAUACUUUCAAUAUUUUCAUUAAUAAAAAACAUUUUGUAGUGAUACCAAAAAUCAAAACGGUAAACUCUUAUGAUCCUAAUUUUACUUACUUGUAUUAUAAGUGUAAUUCAAAUAUUAAAUAUUAUAUUUUUAAUUAAACAUUAAUUUUUUACACGAGAAAAGUUUAAAUAAUUAAAUGAUGAUGAAUAAUUUACCAAGUAUUAAUUUAAAUGAUUUUUUUUUCUGAAUAAAAAAUGACUUUAAUUAUGACAGCAACAACAAUUGAAAUUCAUCUUUCAAUAUACUUUUAACAAUAAUACUUUAUAGAUACAACAAAUAUUCAGAAUAGAUAUGAAAAACUACUAAAAAUAACAAGUUCUAUAAUAAACUAAAAUAAAUCAAAUGUAAAAUUCUAUCUAGAUUUAUAAAUCAAAUUAAACCUAAUUUGUACACAAAUAUAUUGAAUGCAUAAUAUGUGUAAACCACCCUAAUAAUGGUCACAUGAACAGCACGUGUUUGGCGAGGAUGUGGCAAGCCAGAUGCCUAAAAAACUGAAAUCCUCAAAUAUAUAGUGAGAAUUCAUUAUUGCUAAUAAAUUAUAAUAACGAUACAUCUACUUUAACUCAGGAUAAAAUAGGUGAAAAUAACAGAAAAAUUGUCAAUUAUAGAUAUAAAUUAUUUAGCACUAAAAUAAUUAUUAUAACAAAUCUUAUCGCUAGAUCUUCACCAAUUAAAAAUUCUUAAAAGAGAUUUUGAGUCUAAUCAAAUCUUCUGCCUUUGUCAUAGUGAGAUGUAUUUUUUAAGAGAUUUGGUUUGUCACAAGAGAUUUAAACAUUAUAAAUAGCAAAAACGUUCAUUUAAUAUAUGGAUUGAAAUUAUUGCUUAUAUAUUCAAUAUUAGUUAUAAUUUACAAGAACAUAUUUUAAUCAGGAGAAAAGUUAAAGAUUUAUCAGUUUGAAAUAUCACAUUCUUAGAAAAAUCAACUGUUUUAAUUAAUAUCAUCCACGUGAAAAGAAAAAUUGAACGGUGUGACAAUUUUGUCUAUUAAAAAAAAAGACACGUAAUUGAGUAUGGGCAUUGAUAUCAUAAUCAAUUUUGAAUUUCUCAAAAUAUUAAAAGAAACCAUUUGUAUAACGACAAGGCCUCUCAAAAAGAUGGUUUGAUUUUUCCUUGUAGUUUGUCUCCUUCUUCUCUUCUAUUUAAUAAUAAUUUGAUGAUUACAUUUUUAGAAAAAAACUUCAAAUGUACAAUCACGCAAAUCUGCUAUAAAAUAGAUACACUAGUAUAAAAUAAGACUUUAAUGUCACUCCAUAAAUAUCGAACAAAAUAAAAUCUAACAACGGUGAUAUUUUCGUAAAUAAAUGAGUAUAUAGACAUCAGUUCAGCAGGGUUUCGACGUUUAUAAUAUUAGAAAUGUCGGUAUUCCUUUAAACUAAUAUCUAUAUGCUUGAUAGGUAGGUGGAAAGUUAUUUCUUUCCGCCAUAUAGACGUCGUUUAGGAGAGGCACCGACGUUCUAAUAUUACAGAUGUCGGUGCCUCUUUUAUCGACGUCUAUAACGACGUCGUACCUGAAAAAAACCGACGUCCCAUUAACGUCACCUAUAUAGAUGUCAAGUCUGGAUGUGACGUUAAAAGUAAAAAAUAACAAAUGUCUACAUCCCUUUCUACACUAGUGAUAAUAAACGAGUAAUGGUACGAUACACUUUUACAUUCAUUUCAUAAAAAAUAUAAAGUUAAAAUGCUUAUAAAAAUGUAACUUUUUAUAUUUUGUUCUAUAAAAAAAUAAAAAAAAAGUAAAAAAUAAUAUGAAAUGAACAUAAAAAAUUUAAGUAUAUCAAAUAAUUAUUAUUCAAUAAUAAAUAUCAUUGAUUAGUUAUUGGCUUACCACUUCCCCCUUUCUUUCGUUUAUUAUUGAACAAACUUAAAAUUUAUUUUUAUGAAAAUAUCCCCUUCAACAAAACGACAUGCAGUAGUAUGACAAAGAAAAAACAGAAACUUAUUUAAAGUGGAAAAAUUUAACAAUAAUAUAGCAUUCCAACUCAUGAUUUGAUACCACUAUUAAGAUAAUAUACUUCAUUUUUUACAUAAUAUUUAUUUUUCAUAUCAUUAUUCCAUGUAAAAUUCAAACUCACAUUUAAAAUUUUCAAGCUAAUAAUUUUCAUAUCCAUCGUCACUCAUCUCAAAAUUAUUCAUAAACAAAAUACACGAACAACAGACCACACAUAAACAAAUAAAUCAAAGAAUCAAACGCAUAGACUUAAGUAGAAGGUGGGAUGAGAUUGGUAGAUUCCUUGAUCUUGGAUAUGAACAACUUUUGAAAAUCAGAAUCUACAUUAAGAGCCACCUGUUGCAGUGUAGAUGAGAAAAUGCUCCAAAUCGAUGUCUUUCCAGCCAACUCUUCAAACAAAGGUCUGCAAAUAGGAUAAUCAAUGAUUUUUUGUUAGUAUCUGUGACAUGACAUACUUUAAAACAACAUAAUCAAUCAAUUUUAAUGUUAUUGCAUGCCAUUAACAACAUCUUACUUUGUUGUUGUCACAAUGGAAUAACUCUCCAAUCCUUCUUCACCAGCAAUUUCAGCAACAACAAAGAACUGUGGCACCACAACCAAAUCACCAGCCUCAACUUGAGUGUUUAACACACUCUUUCCAUUGAAGUCCACAAUUUCAAUCUUGCCACUUCCUCUAGCAAUAUAAAUCAACUCAACAGUAGGACUCACCGGGUAUGAUGGAGCCUUGAUAGCAUUAGGUUCAAGUUUUACUCUGAUCAAGCUUAACCCAACAUCCUCAAUAGAACCAAAAUCUUUCUCUGUUAAGGUUUUCACCAACCCAGCUUUUUCCACAGCAUUUUCUGGCUCUGCACCAUCUAUAUUAUACACUAACUUUUUGGUAUUGUGCAGUUGGGGCUUAGGAACAGGUUGAGUUUUGUCUAGUUUGAUGAUCAAAACCCCAGUUUGGCUUCUUGUGAGCUUUUCCACUUCAUUUUUGUCUAAGCCAUAGACCUUGCUCGUGAGAUCAGUGGAGAAGCCUCCUAUAACUCCUAUAGCCCCAGUUAGAAAGAAAUAGGUGAAUUGACCUGGAAUAAGAGCCUUUGAAGUUUCUCCAAGAAAAACGAUGACCAGAUCUGUGUCUCCAUCGUUGAACCACCACGAAACAGCUCCAACAGGUACUGCUAUAACGUCUCCUUUCUCAAGUUUCACAACCACCUCUUCUUUGCUGUUCGGGAGAACCAUUCCAGCUACUCCGUCGCUCCCUACAAAGUUUCUUAUAUAAAUAAUAACUCGCAAUCCUAAACUCUAAGGUGAGAUUUGCAGUCAUGAAAUCGCUUUGAUACAAAAAAUCUUGUUAAAAUAGACUUAACAUAUGAUUCUGAUAUACGUGAACUUUAAGUCUAACUUAAAUCGUGUUAUCUCUGAUGAACAUAAGAAUUUUUGCUAGCAUAAAUCUUAAUAAUGCAUGAUACUGAUAUUAUAUUAUUAUAUUAAGAAGUAAAGUUAUCAGUUUUAUAAAAGUAAGAUCAUGUUAUUAAACUCUUUUAACAAUAAAAAAUUUGCAAGAGUAACACGAGGAGAGAAUAGAAAAUAUAUAUAUAUGAAAGGGUGCUGACCUUGAAUGACAUAACCUAGUUUGGAUGAAUCUGCAUAAUGAGGAAGAGCAAAGCCACGAGGCUGAAGAAGAAGGCGACCUGCACCCAGAUAUUCCUUGGCGAGAAGUGGCACUUGAGAAGUUGUCCAAGUGUAGUAACCUCCGCCAUCUCCCUCAAACAAUGCUUCAGCUUUCUUUGGUGUUAAGUCUAUCGCCAUUCGUUCAAAGGAAUAGAGUUUCUGUCGAAAGAAAUGAGGAACAAGGUGAUUCAGAUGCAUAUAAGAGAUGAUAGUGGCUAU